RNAcentral lists this ribosomal RNA (253 nucleotides) under uncultured bacterium. Its description in RNAcentral is "partial 16S ribosomal RNA". It matches the Rfam family "Bacterial small subunit ribosomal RNA", at positions 524 to 776 of the family's 1533-position model. The record is from RNAcentral.
UACGUAGGGGGCAAGCGUUGUCCGGAUUUAUUGGGCGUAAAGAGCGUGUAGGCGGCCAGACAGGUCCGUUGUGAAAACUAGAGGCUUAACCUCUAGACGUCGAUGGAAACUGUCUGGCUAGAGUCCGGAAGAGGAGAAUGGAAUUCCUGGUGUAGCGGUGAAAUGCGCAGAUAUCAGGAAGAACACCCGUGGCUAAGGCGGUUCUCUAGUACGGUACUGACGCUGAGACGCGAAAGCGUGGGGAGCGAACAGG